GUCCAUGACUCCAUGGGGGCUGCCGCUCGUGGCUGUCUCCCUUCCUAGGCAUGGAAGAGCAGAGCCUUGCUGAUUGGCAUAGCUUGUACCUUCCUUGUGGGUAUGAGUCGUUGACUGUGGUAAGGAACAAGC
RNAcentral lists this small nucleolar RNA (132 nucleotides) under Acanthisitta chloris (rifleman). RNAcentral's name for it is "Small nucleolar RNA SNORA24". It matches the Rfam family "Small nucleolar RNA SNORA24". Rfam says of the family: ACA24 is a member of the H/ACA class of snoRNA that guide the sites of modification of uridines to pseudouridines. Lineage: Eukaryota; Metazoa; Chordata; Aves; Passeriformes; Acanthisittidae. The record is from Rfam by way of RNAcentral.